ACGAACGCUGGCGGCGCGCCUAACACAUGCAAGUCGAACGAGCGAGAGAGAGCUUGCUUUCUCGAGCGAGUGGCGAACGGGUGAGUAACGCGUGAGGAACCUGCCUCAAAGAGGGGGACAACAGUUGGAAACGACUGCUAAUACCGCAUAAGCCCACGACCCGGCAUCGGGUAGAGGGAAAAGGAGCAAUCCGCUUUGAGAUGGCCUCGCGUCCGAUUAGCUAGUUGGUGAGGUAACGGCCCAACAAGGCGACGAUCGGUAGCCGGACUGAGAGGUUGAACGGCCACAUUGGGACUGAGACACGGCCCAGACUCCUACGGGAGGCAGCAGUGGGGAAUAUUGCACAAUGGGGGAAACCCUGAUGCAGCGACGCCGCGUGGAGGAAGAAGGUCUUCGGAUUGUAAACUCCUGUUGUUGAGGAAGAUAAUGACGGUACUCAACAAGGAAGUGACGGCUAACUACGUGCCAGCAGCCGCGGUAA
RNAcentral lists this ribosomal RNA (481 nucleotides) under uncultured bacterium. RNAcentral's name for it is "partial 16S ribosomal RNA". It matches the Rfam family "Bacterial small subunit ribosomal RNA", at positions 29 to 523 of the family's 1533-position model. The record is from RNAcentral.